CCUACGGGAGGCAGCAGUGAGGAAUAUUGGUCAAUGGACGAGAGUCUGAACCAGCCAAGUAGCGUGAAGGAUGACUGCCCUACGGGUUGUAAACUUCUUUUAUAAAGGAAUAAAGUGAGGCACGUGUGCCGUUUUGUAUGUACUUUAUGAAUAAGGAUCGGCUAACUCCGUGCCAGCAGCCGCGGUAAUACGGAGGAUCCGAGCGUUAUCCGGAUUUAUUGGGUUUAAAGGGAGCGUAGAUGGGUUGUUAAGUCAGUUGUGAAAGUUUGCGGCUCAACCGUAAAAUUGCAAUUGAUACUGGCAGACUUGAGUACAGAUGCGGUAGGCGGAAUGCGUGGUGUAGCGGUGAAAUGCUUAGAUAUCACGAAGAACCCCGAUUGCGAAGGCAGCUUACUAAACUGUGACUGACAUUGAUGCUCGAAAGUGUGGGUAUCAAACAGGAUUAGAUACCCUUGUAGUC
RNAcentral lists this ribosomal RNA (460 nucleotides) under uncultured bacterium. RNAcentral describes it as "partial 16S ribosomal RNA". It matches the Rfam family "Bacterial small subunit ribosomal RNA", at positions 338 to 795 of the family's 1533-position model. The record is from RNAcentral.